Molecule: unclassified non-coding RNA, 235 nt
Filed under: uncultured fungus
Lineage: Eukaryota; Fungi
Description: partial contains 5.8S ribosomal RNA, internal transcribed spacer 2, and large subunit ribosomal RNA
Source: RNAcentral
AACGCACAUUGCGCCCUCUGGUAUUCCGGAGGGCAUGCCCGUUCGAGCGUCAUUACACCACUCAAGCCUAGCUUGGUAUUGGGCGGCGGGGCCCCCCGCGCCCCCAUUCGAUCGGCUGGACGGUUCGAAUCUCAGCGUUGUGAAUCAGUUCGCUCGUGAGGACGAUCGGCCGCGCCGUUAAACCCUUCAUCAACAGGUUGACCUCGGAUCGGGUAGGGAUACCCGCUGAACUUAA